This 1348-nucleotide ribosomal RNA is filed under the name metagenome. RNAcentral's name for it is "bacterial LSU rRNA". It matches the Rfam family "Bacterial large subunit ribosomal RNA", at positions 1564 to 2925 of the family's 2925-position model. The record is from RNAcentral.
UGAGUACGAGCUGCUACGGCAGCGAAGUGGGUGAUGUCAAGCUUCCAAGAAAAGCCCUAUACCCGUUAAGGCAUGAUGGCCUGUACCCGAAACCGACACAGGUGGGGUGGUAGAGAAUACCGAGGGGCGCGAGAUAACUCUCUCUAAGGAACUCGGCAAAAUGGCCCCGUAACUUCGGGAGAAGGGGUGCCACCGCAAGGUGGUCGCAGUGAAGAGGCCCAGGCGACUGUUUACCAAAAACACAGGUCUCCGCUAAGUCGCAAGACGAUGUAUGGGGGCUGACGCCUGCCCAGUGCCGGAAGGUUAAGGAAGCUGGUCAGCGAAAGCGAAGCUAGCGACUGAAGCCCCGGUGAACGGCGGCCGUAACAAUAACGGUCCUAAGGUAGCGAGAUUCCUUGUCGGGUAAGUUCCGACCCGCACGAAAGGCGUAACGAUCUGGGCGCUGUCUCGGAGAGAGGCUCGGCGAAAUAGAAUUGUCUGUGAAGAUGCGGACUACGUGCACCCGGACAGAAAGACCCUAUGAAGCUUUACUGUAGCUUGGUAUUGUGCUCGGGCUCGGAAUGCGCAGGAUAGGUGGGAGGCUAUGAACCAUUGCUUGUGGGUGAUGGUGAGCCACUGGUGAGAUACCACUCUUUCCGAGCUAGAGUUCUAACAGCCACCCGUUAUCCGGGGGCUGGACAGUAUCAGGUGGGCAGUUUGACUGGGGCGGUCGCCUCCUAAAAGGUAACGGAGGCGCGCAAAGGUUUGCUCAGGCUGGUUGGAAAUCAGCCGACGAGUGUAAAAGCAGAAGCAAGCUUGACUGUGAGACCUACAAGUCGAACAGGGAGGAAACUCGGCUUUAGUGAUCCGACGGUUCUGCGUGGAAGGGCCGUCGCUCAACGGAUAAAAGUUACUCUAGGAUAACAGGCUGAUCUCCCCCAAGAGUUCACAUCGACGGGGAGGUUUGGCACCUCGAUGUCGGCUCAUCGCAACCUGGGGCUGAAGUCGGUCCCAAGGGUUGGGCUGUUCGCCCAUUAAAGCGGUACGCGAGCUGGGUUCAGAACGUCGUGAGACAGUUCGGUCCAUAUCCGGUGCAUGCGCAGGAAUAUUGAGAGGAUUUCUCCCUAGUACGAGAGGACCGGGAGGAACGCACCUCUGGUGUACCAGUUAUCGUGCCAACGGUAAACGCUGGGUAGCCAUGUGCGGAGAGGAUAACCGCUGAAAGCAUCUAAGUGGGAAGCCCACCUCAAGAUGAGUAUUCCCAUGGGGUAACCCAGUAAGGUCACGGGAAGAACACCCGUUGAUAGGCUCUACGUGGAAGCGCAGUAAUGUGUGAAGCGGAGGAGUACUAAUAGACCGAGGGCUUGAC